GCGAACGCUGGCGGCGUGCUUAACACAUGCAAGUCAAACGGUUCCGGGGUAGCAAUACUCCGGGAUAGUGGCGAACGGGUGAGUAACACGUGGGUAAUCUUCCCCCGAGUGAGGAAUAAGCUUGCGAAAGCGGGUCUAAUACCGCAUGAAGCUUCGGGACAUCAGUCUUCGAAGCCAAAGCCGUAAGGCGCUUGGGGAUGAGCCUGCGUCCUAUUAGCUAGUUGGUAGGGUAAUGGCCUACCAAGGCGAUGAUGGGUAGCCGGCCUGAGAGGGUGAUCGGCCACACUGGAACUGAGACACGGUCCAGACUCCUACGGGAGGCAGCAGUGAGGAAUUUUGCGCAAUGGGCGAAAGCCUGACGCAGCGACGCCGCGUGGAGGAAGACGGCCUUCGGGUUGUAAACUCCUGUCAGAGGUGAAGAACGCCCGCAAGGGCUUGACGGUAACCUCAGAGGAAGCCCCGGCUAACUACGU
This 473-nucleotide ribosomal RNA is filed under the name uncultured bacterium. RNAcentral's name for it is "bacterial SSU rRNA". It matches the Rfam family "Bacterial small subunit ribosomal RNA", at positions 29 to 506 of the family's 1533-position model. The record is from RNAcentral.